UGUGGCUCAGUCGGUAGAGCAUGAGACUCUUAAUCUCAGGGUUGUGGGUUCAAGGCCCACACUGGGCAAAA
Non-coding RNA from Podarcis lilfordi (Lilford's wall lizard), 71 nucleotides. Lineage: Eukaryota; Metazoa; Chordata; Lepidosauria; Squamata; Lacertidae. The record is from the annotation of a GenBank genome assembly.